RNAcentral lists this ribosomal RNA (1356 nucleotides) under uncultured bacterium. Its description in RNAcentral is "partial 16S ribosomal RNA". It matches the Rfam family "Bacterial small subunit ribosomal RNA", at positions 28 to 1381 of the family's 1533-position model. The record is from RNAcentral.
GACGAACGCUGGCGGCGUGCUUAACACAUGCAAGUCGAACGAUGAAGAAAAGAAUCGAAGCUUCGGCAGAAAUUCAUUUCGGAUUAGUGGCAGACGGGUGAGUAACGCGUGAGCAACCUACCUCUUACAAAGGGAUAGCCUCGGGAAACCGGGAUUAAUACCAUAUAACAUUGCGACGAAGCAUUUCGAUGCAAUCAAAGCUACGGCGGUAAGAGAUGGGCUCGCGUCCCAUUGACCGGAUGGUGAGGUAACGGCUCACCAUAGUGACGAUGGGUAACCGGCCUGAGAGGGUGAACGGUCACACUGGAACUGAGACACGGUCCAGACUCCUACGGGAGGCAGCAGUGGGGAAUAUUGCACAAUGGAGGGAACUCUGAUGCAGCGACGCCGCGUGAGUGAUGAAGGAAUUCGUUUCGUAAAACUCUGUUCUAUGGGAAGAAAAGGACUGUACCAUAGGAGAAAGCUCCGGCUAAAUACGUGCCAGCAGCCGCGGUAAUACGUAAGGUCCGGGCGUUAUCCGGAUUUAUUGGGUUUAAAGGGAGCGUAGGCCGCCAGGUAAGCGUGUUGUGAAAUGUACCGGCUCAACCGGUGAAUUGCAGCGCGAACUGUCUGGCUUGAGUGCACGGUAAGCAGGCGGAAUUCAUGGUGUAGCGGUGAAAUGCAUAGAUAUUACGCAGAACUCCGAUUGCGAAGGCAGCUUACAAAACUACUACUGACACUGAGGCACGAAAGCGUGGGUAUCAAACAGGAUUAGAUACCCUGGUAGUCCACGCCGUAAACUAUGAUUACUCAGAGUAUGCGAUAUACAGUAUGCUCUCAAGCGAAAGCAUUAAGUAAUCCACCUGGGGAGUACGUCGGCAACGAUGAAACUCAAAGGAAUUGACGGGGGCCCGCACAAGCGGAGGAACACGUGGUUUAAUUCGAUGAUACGCGAGGAACCUUACCUGGGAUUGAAAUGUAUAGGCUGGCAGCUGGAAACAGCUGCUGUUCACUUCGGUGACUUAUAUGUAGGUGCUGCAUGGUUGUCGUCAGCUCGUGCCGUGAGGUGUCGGCUUAAGUGCCAUAACGAGCGCAACCCUUAUCGUUAGUUGCUAACAGGUUAAGCUGAGGACUCUGGCGAGACUGCCGUCGUAAGGCGAGAGGAAGGUGGGGAUGACGUCAAAUCAUCAUGCCCCUUAUGUCCAGGGCUUCACACAUGCUACAAUGGUCGGUACAACGCGCAGCGACACUGUGAGGUGGAGCGAAUCGCUGAAAGCCGGCCUUAGUUCGGAUUGGGGUCUGCAACUCGACCCCAUGAAGUCGGAGUCGCUAGUAAUCGCAGAUCAGCAACGCUGCGGUGAAUACGUUCCCGGGCCU